GACGAACGCUGGCGGCGUGCUUAACACAUGCAAGUCGAACGGAAAGGCCCUGCUUUUGUGGGGUGCUCGAUUGGCGAACGGGUGAGUAACACGUGAGUAACCUGCCCUUGACUUUGGGAUAACUUCAGGAAACUGGGGCUAAUACCGGCUAGGAGCUCCUGCUGCAUGGUGGGCGUUGGAAAGUUUCGGCGGUUGUGGAUGGACUCGCGGCUUAUCAGCUUGUUGGUGAGGUAGUGGCUUACCAAGGGUUUGACGGGUAGCCGGCCUUAGAGGGUGACCGGCCACAUGGGGACUAAGAUACGGCCCAGACGCCUACGGGAGGCAGCAGGGGAGAAUAUUGCACAAUGGGCGGAAGCCUGAUGCAGCAACGCCGCGUGCGUGAUGACGGCCUACGGGUGGUAAACCGCUGUCGCAUGUGACGAAGCGGGAGUGACGGUAAUGGGUAAAGAAGCACCGGCUAACUACGUG
Molecule: ribosomal RNA, 468 nt
Filed under: uncultured bacterium
Lineage: Bacteria
Description: partial 16S ribosomal RNA
Rfam family: Bacterial small subunit ribosomal RNA
Source: RNAcentral